AUUGAACGCUGGCGGAAUGCUUUACACAUGCAAGUCGAACGGUAGAGGGGGCAACCCCUUGAGAGUGGGCGAACGGGUGAGUAAUAUAUCGGAACGUGCCCAGUCGUGGGGAUAACGUAGCGAAAGUUACGCUAAUACCGCAUACGAUCUAAGGAUGAAAGCGGGGGAUCGCAAGACCUCGCGCGAUUGGAGCGGCUGAUAUCAGAUUAGGUUGUUGGUGAGGUAAAAGCUCACCAAGCCGACGAUCUGUAGCUGGUUUGAGAGAACGACCAGCCACACUGGGACUGAGACACGGCCCAGACUCCUACGGGAGGCAGCAGUGGGGAAUUUUGGACAAUGGGCGAAAGCCUGAUCCAGCAAUGCCGCGUGCAGGAAGAAGGCCU
RNAcentral lists this ribosomal RNA (383 nucleotides) under uncultured bacterium. RNAcentral describes it as "bacterial SSU rRNA". It matches the Rfam family "Bacterial small subunit ribosomal RNA", at positions 30 to 417 of the family's 1533-position model. The record is from RNAcentral.